This is an RNA transcript of Suricata suricatta (meerkat), 2393 nucleotides long. It is a transcript of the gene named peptidyl arginine deiminase 4, with no coding region annotated. The transcript has 17 exons. The record is from RefSeq and is a predicted model, not a curated record. NCBI's taxonomy places the organism in Eukaryota, Metazoa, Chordata, Mammalia, Carnivora, Herpestidae.
UAAAGGAACCCGCCAAGGGGCCUCCCACAGCUGGAGGGUCGGGCUGGCAGGACUAUGGCCCAAGGCACAGUGAUCCACGUGGCCCUCGAGCAGCCCACCUAUGCCGUGUGUGUCCUGGGCACCGAAGCUCAGCUGGAUGUCUACAGCUCCGCCCCCACGGGCUGCACGUCCUUCAGCGUCAGUGCCUCCCCAGGAGUGGUCGUGGAUGUUGCCCACGGCCCCCCGACCAAGAAGAAACCCACGGGCUCCUCCAAGUGGUCGCUGGACCCGAGCCUGGAGGUGAGCCUGAGGAUGAGAGCCGCCAGCGUCAGCACAGGUGACCAAAAGGUUCAAAUUUCAUACUAUGGACCCAAGACCAGCCCGGUCCAAGCCCUGCUCUAUGUCACUGGUGUCGAAAUCUCCUUGAGCACGGACAUCACCCGCACCGGCAAAGUGAAGCCUGCAGGAGCCCCGAAAGGCCAGAGGACCUGGACCUGGGGCCCCCGCGGGCAGGGCGCCAUCCUGCUGGUAAACUGCGACAAAGACAAUCCCAAAUCUUCCACCGUAGACUGCAGGGAUGAUGAGGUGCUUGUCAGCGAAGACCUGCAGGACAUGUCCCUGGUGACCCUGAACACGAAGACCCCCAGGGACUUCUUCGCCACGCACCGUCUGCUCCUCCACGUGGCCAAGUCGGAGAUGGACAAAGUCCGGGUGUUCCAAGCCAGCCGAGGCAAACAGAUCUCUAGAUACAGGGCGGUGCUGGGGCCAGAGCAGCCCUGUCACCCCCUGGAACUCCCGGGUGGCCAGCACAGCACAGAUUUCUAUGUGGAGGGCCUCGCUUUCCCAGACGCCAACUUCCCGGGGCUCAUUUCUCUCACCGUCUCCCUGCUGGACACGUCCAACCCGGAGCUGCCCAAUACCCUGAUUUUCCAAGACAGUGUUGUCUUCCGUGUGGCCCCCUGGAUCAUGACCCCCAACACCCAGCCCCCUGAGGAGGUGUACGUGUGCAGGAUGUUCGAAAAUGAGGACUUCCUGAAGUCAUUGACUGAGCUGACCAAGGAAGCCAAGUGCAAGCUGACCGUCUGCACCAUGGAGCAGAACAUGGAGGACCGGUGGAUGCAGGAUGAAAUGGAGGUCGGCUAUAUCCAAGCGCCGCACAAGACACUGCCUGUUGUCUUCGACUCUCCAAGGAACAGAGGCUUGAAGGAAUUCCCCAUCAAAUGUGUGCUGGGUCCAGAUUUCGGCUACGUGACUCGAGGGCCCCAAACAGGAGAGGUUUCUGACCUUGACUCCUUUGGAAACCUGGAAGUGAGCCCCCCGGUCAAGGUUGGGAGGAAGAAAUACCCUCUGGGCAGGAUCCUCAUUGGGAGCAGCUGCUACCCCAGCAGUGAGAGCCAGGAGAUGCACCAGGCCCUGCAGGAUUUCCUCAGCGCCCAGCAGGUGCAGGCGCCCGUGAAGCUCUACUCCGACUGGCUGUUUGUGGGCCACGUGGACGAGUUCCUGAGCUUCGUCCCCGCGCACAAGAAGGGCUUCCGGCUGCUCCUGGCCAGCCCCCGCUCCUGCUACAAACUAUUCCAGGAGCUGCUCCAGGAGGGCCACGGCGAGGCUCUGCUGUUCGAAGGGGUCAAGAGAAAAAAACAGAAAAUAAAGGACAUUCUGUCCAACGAGAAAUUGAGAGAAGAUAAUUCGUACGUGGAGAAAUGCAUCGACUGGAACCGGGAGGUGCUGAAGCGGGAGCUGGGCCUGGCCGAGCGGGACAUCGUGGACCUCCCCCAACUCUUCAAGCUCCAUGACGACCUCAGAGGGAACCUCAAGGCCGAAGCCUAUUUCCCAAACAUGGUGAACAUGCUGGUGCUGGGGAAGCACCUGGGCAUCCCCAAGCCCUUCGGGCCCAUCAUCAACGGGCGCUGCUGCCUGGAGGAGAAGGUGCGGUCCCUGCUGGAGCCGCUGGGCCUGCACUGCACCUUCAUUGACGACUUCUACGCCUACCACGUGCGGCACGGGGAGGUGCACUGCGGCACCAACGUGCGCCGGCAGCCCUUCUCCUUCAAGUGGUGGCACAUGGUGCCCUGAGCCCUUCCCCUGCUGCUGUCCUGGCCAGAGGCUCCGGUCCCCUGCAGUGUGCCAUCGCAAGAGCUCUUAGGGACAUUCUGGCUCCCUGGGCAUGGCGCCCUCCUGGCAGCAGCUCGCUUCCUUCUGCUGUGCCCUGGCCCCUUAGCACCACUCCGAAGAUCCCAAGAUAUUCCUGGCAUUGCAGACACCACUCUAUUGUGAGACGCUGCAAUAAAGUUUCAUAAUCGCUUUCUCCUCUUGGAGGACUGCCUGUGGCCACUUGGGAAGAGGACCGGAAGUGGACAAACAGGAGAGUUUACAUCUCCCAGGCAGCCAGAGCCAUGAAGGAAGGGGGCCAAGCG